CCCAUUUUGUAAAGAAAAUCCAGAAAAAUGCAAAGACAGUGAACAAACUUGUUGGAAGAAGCUUCAGAAUGUUAUUAAUAAUGCACUAAAAAUAAGUGGUGGAAUUGGUUUGUUUUUCAGCUUUUCAGAGUUUAUAGGAGUAUGGUUGACUGUUCGAUAUCGCAAUCAGAAAGAUCCUCGUUCUAACCCACAUGCAUUUUUGUGAAACUAAUUAUUGUUUGCAAACCAAAGGUGAUUAGCAUCUGGAUAACUUACAGAUAUCGACAGCAAAAAGAUCCAAAAUUGGACCCUAGUCUUUUAUUCAUA
Long non-coding RNA from Uloborus diversus, 306 nucleotides. RefSeq lists it as uncharacterized. The transcript is spliced from 3 exons. NCBI's taxonomy places the organism in Eukaryota, Metazoa, Arthropoda, Arachnida, Araneae, Uloboridae. The record is from RefSeq and is a predicted model, not a curated record.